This 386-nucleotide ribosomal RNA is filed under the name uncultured bacterium. RNAcentral describes it as "bacterial SSU rRNA". It matches the Rfam family "Bacterial small subunit ribosomal RNA", at positions 29 to 416 of the family's 1533-position model. The record is from RNAcentral.
AUUGAACGCUGGCGGCAUGCUUUACACAUGCAAGUCGAACGGCAGCGCGGGGGCAACCCUGGCGGCGAGUGGCGAACGGGUGAGUAAUGCAUCGGAACGUACCCUGUAAUGGGGGAUAACGUAGCGAAAGUUACGCUAAUACCGCAUACGCUCGAGAGAGGAAAGUGGGGGAUCGCAAGACCUCACGUUAUAGGAGCGGCCGAUGUCCGAUUAGCUAGUUGGUGGGGUAAAGGCCUACCAAGGCGACGAUCGGUAGCUGGUCUGAGAGGAUGAUCAGCCACACUGGGACUGAGACACGGCCCAGACUCCUACGGGAGGCAGCAGUGGGGAAUUUUGGACAAUGGGCGAAAGCCUGAUCCAGCCAUGCCGCGUGCGGGAAGAAGGCC